This is a non-coding RNA of 360 nucleotides. It matches the Rfam family "transfer-messenger RNA". From Rfam's summary of the family: Bacterial tmRNA, also known as 10Sa RNA or SsrA, is named for its dual tRNA and mRNA-like properties. Its role is to liberate the mRNA from a stalled ribosome. To accomplish this part of the tmRNA is used as a reading frame that ends in a translation stop signal. The record is from Rfam.
GGGGGCGUAAAGGUUUCGACGGGGAUUUUGAAGCAUGGUAAGCGAGUAGAGGAGGCGCCAGCUCUAUAAAAAGGCGCACCUAAAUUUUAAACGCUAAAAACAAUACUAGAACUUUAGCUUGCGCUGCUUAGUUUUCUAAGCAGUCCGUCCGAUAAGACCUACCGCGCGCUUAUCCGACGUCAAAUUUAGCGGUGAACGUCCACUGGGAGGGCCUUGGCCCGGCGGAUGAACAAAAGGCUACUAAACCCGGGAGCGUGUCUGUCCGCGCCCGGGCAAGGGAAUGCAAAUGACCGACUACACUCGUAGAAAGCUAUGUGAAUAGAUUUUCGGACACGGGUUCAAUUCCCGUCGCCUCCACCA